This is a non-coding RNA of Triticum aestivum (bread wheat), 124 nucleotides long. NCBI's taxonomy places the organism in Eukaryota, Viridiplantae, Streptophyta, Magnoliopsida, Poales, Poaceae. The record is from Rfam.
GUGUUACUCCCUCCGUCCGGAAAUACUUGUCGUAGAAAUAAAUAAAAUGAAUGUAUCUAUAACUAAAAUAAGUCUAGAUACAACCAUUUGUAGGACAAGUAUUUUCGGACAGAGGGAGUAAUUA